This 328-nucleotide unclassified non-coding RNA is filed under the name Hevea brasiliensis (rubber tree). The record is from RNAcentral. Lineage: Eukaryota; Viridiplantae; Streptophyta; Magnoliopsida; Malpighiales; Euphorbiaceae.
GAUUUGUUGUAUUAUUCAAUUCUUGGCUAACCCAUCAGUUACAAUGCUAUUCCCAUCCAUACAAUACAUUCUCCUCUACAUUCUUAUAUAUUCUCCCAGCUCCUGUUCUCUUUAUUAUCAUAUCAUAGCACAUGCUAGAAACAGCCAGUGCAUAAACAAGCAUUUUGGAGAGUGCAUAAAUUUUUAUCAAAAUGAUUGAAAUGUUUAAUAUACGUGCUAGAUUUGAGAGUAUCCUACAAUGAUUAAAAUGGCAUAAUGAAUAGGUGCAAGUACACUUGAUAAAAAGGAAACCAUCAAAUAUCAACUACAAAUCCAGUGGGAGAAGCUG